AUUGAACGCUGGCGGCAUGCCUUACACAUGCAAGUCGAACGGCAGCACGGGAGCAAUCCUGGUGGCGAGUGGCGAACGGGUGAGUAAUAUAUCGGAACGUGCCCAGUCGUGGGGGAUAACGUAGCGAAAGCUACGCUAAUACCGCAUACGAUCUAUGGAUGAAAGCGGGGGAUCGCAAGACCUCGCGCGAUUGGAGCGGCCGAUAUCAGAUUAGGUAGUUGGUGAGGUAAAGGCUCGCCAAGCCGACGAUCUGUAGCUGGUCUGAGAGGACGACCAGCCACACUGGACUGAGACACGGCCCAGACUCCUACGGAGGCAGCAGUGGGGAAUUUUUGGGACAAAUGGGCGCAAGCCUGAUCCAGCAAUGCCGCGUGCAGGAUGAAGGCUCGG
RNAcentral lists this ribosomal RNA (390 nucleotides) under uncultured bacterium. Its description in RNAcentral is "bacterial SSU rRNA". It matches the Rfam family "Bacterial small subunit ribosomal RNA", at positions 30 to 419 of the family's 1533-position model. The record is from RNAcentral.